UUUUGAUAAUAAUUUAAAGUUUAAUCUGCCCACUGAUNAAAUUAUUAAAGGGCUGCAGUAUUUUGACUGUACAAAGGUAGCAUAAUCAUUAGUCUCUUAAUUGGUGACUUGUAUGAAGGAUUGGAUGAGAUAUAUACUGUCUCUAAUUAAUUUAUAAAAUUUAAUUUUUUAGUAAAAAAGCUAAAAUAAUUUUAAAAGACGAGAAGACCCUAUAGAGUUUAAUAAUUUAUUUAAUUAUUAUUAAUAUAUAAAUUUUAAAAUUAAAAUUAAAUAAAUUAUUUUAUUGGGGUGAUAGAAAAAUUAAAUUAACUUUUUUUUUAUAAUAAACAUUAAUUUAUGAUUAUAUGAUCCAUUAUUAUUGAUUAUAAGAAAAAAUUACCUUAGGGAUAACAGCGUAAUUUUUUUUUUUAGUUCAAAUAGGAAAAAAAGUUUGCGACCUCGAUGUUGAAUUAAGAUAAAAUUUAAAUGCAAAAGUUUAAAAUUUUGAUCUGUUCGAUCAUUAAAAUCUUA
This 510-nucleotide ribosomal RNA is filed under the name Papilio ulysses oxyartes. RNAcentral's name for it is "partial 16S ribosomal RNA". The record is from RNAcentral. Lineage: Eukaryota; Metazoa; Arthropoda; Insecta; Lepidoptera; Papilionidae.